Molecule: ribosomal RNA, 253 nt
Filed under: uncultured bacterium
Lineage: Bacteria
Description: partial 16S ribosomal RNA
Rfam family: Bacterial small subunit ribosomal RNA
Source: RNAcentral
GACGGAGGAUGCAAGCGCUAUCCGGAAUGAUUGGGCGUAAAGCGUACGCAGGUGGCUGUUCGAGUCUGCUGUCAAAGACCGGGGCUUAACCCUAGAAAGGCAGUGGAAACUGGACGGCUGGAGUGCAGUAUGGGUAGAGGGAAUUCCCAGUGUAGCGGUGAAAUGCGUAGAGAUUGGGAAGAACACCGGUGGCGAAAGCGCUCUGCUGGACUGCAACUGACACUGAGGGACGAAAGCUAGGUGAGCGAAAGGG